UUUAUUUCAGCAAAAUGCUAACAUUUUUGGCUGAUUUAAUUUGCAGAGAAAUGUUAUGCUCAUUUGAAGCUUAGCUAGUAAUUAAGCAACAAGCUAGCUUUUUUGCUACCAAAGGUAAUGUAAAAAAAAUCCCUUUGAGAGAUAUUAGCUUCUAUUUUAUAUUUUUUCUUUUGUUCCUGCCAAAAAUAGACAUUAUUCAUAUUUAUUUAAAAAAAAAAAGAAGGUUAUAAAUGCAAAUCCAAAUUUCUUAAAGGCAAACGUAAGUCAAUGCGGCUCCUUUUAGGUUUUGAUCAGUAGAAAACGAGCCCAAAUGGCUCUUUUACUGUUAAAGGUUGCCGACCCCUGGUCUAGAGGAAAGAGACGUCGGAUGGAUUCAUAGAUGAAACGAUGGAUACAUGAUUAGAUGAAUUGAUGAAUGGAUACAGAAAUGCAUGAGUUGAUGGAUGAUAACUAUUUCACCUGUUUACCUAUUUUACUGUUUUAUGGUACAUUCCCAAGAUAAAUGUGAGUUUGUUUUUACUUGAUCUGUUUUGUAUAUAACAGAGGAAAAAAAGUUUUAAUUGGUAAAUGGUCUCGACCAAUAUGUGUUUGAAAUUGUCAGUUAAAGAAUAAAAUACCAUUUAAGAUUUCUGUAAUUUACACAACAGGCAAAACUUGCUUUUUUCUCUUGAGUCUUUUGAUACUCUAAAGAUAAAUGGAUCAUUUCAUGUUAACCACAGUUUUCAUCUUUUUAACUCCUCUUCCUUACAGAACCAGAUACAGUCAGUGACGUCACUGUUACUGAAAUCACCACGUCCUCUAUAUCUCUGAACUGGACCGAACCAUCAGGAAACAGCUCCCCUAAUACAGUAGAACAGUCAGAUGGACCAACUACUCUAAAUCCCAUUGUGACUGAAAAGAGCACCACUAUAUCUUACCAGACUACUGGUGUCCAGAACACCACAAGUGUCACAGACAUUACAGCAGAUAAUCAAACUAAAGAAAAUAGUUUAACUACCAGUUAUACACAACCAGAUACAGUCAGUGACGUCACUGUUACUGAAAUCACCACGUCCUCUAUAUCUCUGAACUGGACCGAACCAUCAGGAAACAGCUCCUCUAAUACAGUAGAACAGUCAGAUGGACCAACUACUCUAAAUCCCGUUGUAACUGAUAAGAGCACCACUAUAUCUUACCAGACUACUGGUGUCCAGAACACCACAAGUGUCACAGACAUUCCAGCAGAUAAUCAAACUAAAGAAAAUAGUUUAACUACCAGUUAUACACGUAAGUAAAGAUGGAUAACAGUUAAACUUGCUGAGAUAUGUGUGCAAACAAUAACCUUAAAUUAGUCCUAUGCCUAUUUUGGAAAUAGAAAUUCAGGAUUAAAUUAAACCAAAUGAGCCAUUUUUCAAAAGAAUGACUCAAUAUCUUACAAAAUGUGAAUCACAUAGAAGGGUGGGAACAUUUAAUUAAAAAUGUUUGAAUGUUUUUUAAAACAGUGACACCAAAAAUAAACAUUCAAAUUGAAGAACAAAAUGAAAUGUACCUAAAAAAAAUCGUUUAGGUCAGUGGUCCCCAACCACCGGGCCGCGGACCGGUCCGUGGACUCCUCGCCACCGGACCGCGGGAGAAUUUUUUUUUUUUAUGAGACGGAAAUAUUUUAUUUUGAAAAUCGACCGGAUUCUCUCGAUUAGCUUGAGCGCUAAAAGCAGUUUGGCGGUGUGUAACACGUUUGCAAAUGGAUUAGAUAAGUGGGACAGAACAGACGCAAGAACCGGUGAUUCCCGCACACCGAGCUGGUCUGCAGAGAGAUGUGACUUUCAUGAACGAAUCUAAUCUUUUGAGCGGUCAUAGAAAUGCUGAAAGGAGCUGAUCUAUACAGAUUCUCAUUUCAGGGAAGUUGUGAACACGCGAUUGAUUAAUACAGUGUUUCUCAAAUGGUGGGGCGGCUCUGUGCGAUGGCAAGGGGGGCGCAGGACAACCCGAGGAUCGUGCAAUUUAUGUUAGUUACUAAACAGUCGAUCGGAGGACCGCGUCAGUUGUGAUAUCCACACUCAGAAAGGAGAAUAUUUAACUAAACCUAAAGAAUUGCAAUGGAAAAAUGUUAAACAGAGAUGAAAAGAAACUGAGAGAAAGAAAGACGGAAAGCUGGGCACUGCGCGUGUGUGUUUGGGGGUGGGGCUUGCACAUGCAGAAGCGCAGGACGGAGAGAGAGAGAAACAACAUCAACACAAAACGUAAAGAAAAUUAGAUCAUUAGAAAAGAAGGAAAAAAACUGGAACCAUUCGACUUUUGAUAGAAUGAAGGAAGAGAAUCUGCAGGAAAUAAUUGUCUAUUCUAUAUAUUUAUGGGUCCACAACCAACCUGUGCAGAAUCUUCUCUAAAUCAGAACAGAUCUUUAAGAAACCAGAUUACAUCCUCAAAGCUGAG
Molecule: long non-coding RNA, 2412 nt
Organism: Oryzias javanicus (javanese ricefish)
Lineage: Eukaryota; Metazoa; Chordata; Actinopteri; Beloniformes; Adrianichthyidae
Source: Ensembl